GACGGAAAACUUCAUCAAUGCGUGUAAGCUUGAAUUAACGUUUUUGAAAUGGCGCGUAGGAAUACAUAUAUGUAAGAAUGAAAACAACAACAAAACGGCAUGGCUGUGCGUUUAGGUCAGGAACCGUUACUGUGCAGAUUUAAAUGGAUUAUACGCCAAAUUAAAGGUGCAAUGGUUAAAAGCUGAAUUAAAUAUGAAGGAAGAUAACAAGUGGUGACUGGAUUUAUGCUGCAUUGUGUUGGAGGAGACGUUGAACGCUGGUUGUGUCGUUAGAACGGUGGAAUGCAACUCGGCUCCAUUUCAAUAUUGAGUAAAAAGUUCAACACCUCUUCAUCUAAAACGCACUCGUUGACUGAGCCCCAUAUAACGCAGUUCAAUUUCAUUAAUAUUUACCAGAUCAGAAGUCGCCACUUGCUCCGUCAUGUUAUCGAUCUCGUAAAGCAUACGAUUCAUACCGGGAACUCGUGUAAUCUGUCUACUUCUACCAACAUCAACACAUACUAUAAAGUAGGAGGAUUGCUUAAUAUUUGCACCGACCUUUGCACCUCAUGGGAGGUAAGGUUAAUUGUAGAAAUGUUGUAAGUUUUACUAUAAAUUCAGUAUUUCACUUGCAAAUUGUUAAAGGAUUUAUAGUCAGUUUUCUUUUUGUUCAAUUCAUGUACUUUAGCAGUUUAGCAUGAAUUAUCUAUUAUUUAGAAUUUAUUCAGUUUGUGUAUAUCAUAAACUCUUUACUAUGAUAAGCUUAUUCAUGCUAAGCUUAGGGAAAGAUUAUUGAUUCAAGAAAUUAUUGUAAUUCAUAAUUUCUAUGUAUUUUAACCUCUCUUUUAAUAUUUUGAUAAGGACCUUGAUUGUAAAAUUCUUAUGCAGAGUUAUUGUUCUUGUAUUCAUAACUUUAAUUGUAUUUCAGGGUCACGCAACAAUAAUUUUUUUAGGUACAUCACCACAAUAGGGUCUGUAAGUCUCGUCAUGUGAUUGCCGAGAAUUAGCGAGAUUAUUAACUUCCGGGUACAUCAACAUCUCAGAUUGCACUGACCUGUGUAGAGAGUGGUAUACAUAGAUAUAGCGUUAUCAAUCGAUUAUGUGGAAGUUUAACGAGAUAAACAUGGGAAUUGAAGCAUUAGUGGAGUGGUCGAGGAUUCUUCGCUUCGUGUUUGACGAAUUACGUGUAAUAACCGCCAGUGUACAAGCAUCGACGAGGGUACGUCUUGCAGAUAAAGAGCAGAUAUGCCUUGAAUCUGAGGAUAAAGGUGUUGUGUAUUGUGCAGUCAUCAUUAAUGUGGAUGUCUGAUGCCAGUAUGCUCAUAGUGGGGCAGUAUAAGUGUCGAUCUUCAUAUGGCAGCAAAUUUUCAAAGGCAGAUAUAAGAAGGCAAAUAAAACUGUUCAAUGUAAAAUACGCCAGUAGUUGGAUAAAACAUCCAAAGUCGGCAGUCAAAGGUCACAACAACAAUGGAGGAAUUAACUGCAUCCUCAUUCCGCAGGGCAACAGGCCAUUUUCAGCAACCCCUGAAAUUCUUAAUUGAGGCUAAGUGCCCAUUUUCAGCUCGAACAAUGACAAUUAAAGAGGCCUGUGCAAAUGUUGGGAUUUCCCUCUUGAAUGUGAUGUAAGAGAUGGUUCACUGCCCAUUAAAACAAAAUAUGAAUAUUGGCAUCAGAUUCAAGGACAACAACACCUGAAAGACACCCAAUGCUGUGAUUUGCUAGUGUGGAUUCCUAGUGACACUCAAAUACAUUGACAAAGAUGUAUUAUGGUCAACUUUUUAAGCGUGAUAGAGUUUAAUUAUAAUAAUAAAGUAUUUUUGCAGUCUAGAACACACACACAUAACCACAUGUACAUAUACUUUAUUAUGAUAUCAGUGGUGCAUCUAUCAAAGUUAUGUAAUUACAAGUAUAUUUAUUGAAUAAACAUUAUAGACAGAGUUUUUCUUAUUUUAGAUGAACCAAAAUUUGUAUAGACAUAGUGUCCAGCUUUACGAAAAUCAUUGAAUUACAUGCAUUCACUAAAAACAAUGGAUUUUACUUCUUUUUUAAUAAUGCAGAUUUGAAAACCUUCAG
Ostrea edulis (European flat oyster) is the source of this 2052-nucleotide long non-coding RNA. RefSeq lists it as uncharacterized. The record is from RefSeq and is a predicted model, not a curated record. NCBI's taxonomy places the organism in Eukaryota, Metazoa, Mollusca, Bivalvia, Ostreida, Ostreidae. The transcript has 5 exons.